UGAGGAAUAUUGGUCAAUGGGCGAGAGCCUGAACCAGCCAAGUAGCGUGCAGGAUGACGGCCCUAUGGGUUGUAAACUGCUUUUGUAUGGGGAUAAAGUUAGGGACGUGUCCCUAUUUGCAGGUACCAUACGAAUAAGGACCGGCUAAUUCCGUGCCAGCAGCCGCGGUAAUACGGAAGGUCCAGGCGUUAUCCGGAUUUAUUGGGUUUAAAGGGAGCGUAGGCUGGAGAUUAAGUGUGUUGUGAAAUGUAGACGCUCAACGUCUGAAUUGCAGCGCAUACUGGUUUCCUUGAGUACGCACAACGUUGGCGGAAUUCGUCGUGUAGCGGUGAAAUGCUUAGAUAUGACGAAGAACUCCGAUUGCGAAGGCAGCUGACGGGAGCGCAACUGACGCUUAAGCUCGAAGGUGCGGGUAUCAAACAGGAUUAGAUACCCUGGUAGUCCGCACAGUAAACGAUGGAUGCCCGCUGUUGGUACCUGGUAUCAGCGGCUAAGCGAAAGCAUUAAGCAUCCCACCUGGGGAGUACGCCGGCACGGU
Molecule: ribosomal RNA, 538 nt
Filed under: uncultured bacterium
Lineage: Bacteria
Description: bacterial SSU rRNA
Rfam family: Bacterial small subunit ribosomal RNA
Source: RNAcentral